This 497-nucleotide ribosomal RNA is filed under the name uncultured bacterium. RNAcentral's name for it is "partial 16S ribosomal RNA". It matches the Rfam family "Bacterial small subunit ribosomal RNA", at positions 28 to 507 of the family's 1533-position model. The record is from RNAcentral.
GACGAACGCUGGCGGCGUGCCUAAUACAUGCAAGUUGAGCGCUGAAGGUUGGUACUUGUACCAACUGGAUGAGCAGCGAACGGGUGAGUAACGCGUGGGGAAUCUGCCUUUGAGCGGGGGACAACAUUUGGAAACGAAUGCUAAUACCGCAUAAAAACUUUAAACACAAGUUUUAAGUUUGAAAGAUGCAAUUGCAUCACUCAAAGAUGAUCCCGCGUUGUAUUAGCUAGUUGGUGAGGUAAAGGCUCACCAAGGCGAUGAUACAUAGCCGACCUGAGAGGGUGAUCGGCCACAUUGGGACUGAGACACGGCCCAAACUCCUACGGGAGGCAGCAGUAGGGAAUCUUCGGCAAUGGACGAAAGUCUGGCCGAGCAACGCCGCGUUAGUGAAGAAGGUUUUCGGAUCGUAAAACUCUGUUGGUAGAGAAGAACGUUGGUGAGAGUGGAAAGCUCAUCAAGUGACGGUAACUACCCAGAAAGGGACGGCUAACUACGUG